UGUAAACAUCCUACACUCUCAGCUGUGGUCUGACUGAGCUGGGAGAGGGAUGUUUGCUCA
This 60-nucleotide microRNA precursor is filed under the name Scyliorhinus torazame (cloudy catshark). RNAcentral describes it as "Sto-Mir-30-P2d_pre stem-loop". It matches the Rfam family "mir-30 microRNA precursor family", at positions 9 to 69 of the family's 77-position model. From Rfam's summary of the family: This family consists of the mammalian microRNA (miRNA) precursor mir-30a. Lineage: Eukaryota; Metazoa; Chordata; Chondrichthyes; Carcharhiniformes; Scyliorhinidae. The record is from RNAcentral.